RNAcentral lists this long non-coding RNA (1232 nucleotides) under Mytilus galloprovincialis (Mediterranean mussel). Lineage: Eukaryota; Metazoa; Mollusca; Bivalvia; Mytilida; Mytilidae. The record is from RNAcentral.
AGUUGAAUGAUAAAUCAAGUUUGCUUUGACUUAAUCUCAUCAAAAUAAAUGACAUUGUCUAGAUUGGUGCUUGCUGGUGGAGCAAUAGCCCCUUUUGACUUUAUUAUUCACUUAAAUAAAGAGCUUCAAGAUUUCAUUCAUGAAAAAUUAUUAAUGCACACACAUACAUUGUAUAUGAUGUGUAUAUAAAAAAAGAAGAUGUGGUAUGAUUGCCAAUGAGACAACUAUCCACAAAAGACCAAAAUGACUCAAAUUUUAGCAACUUUAGGUCACCGUACGGCCUUCAACAAUGAGCAAAGCCCAUACCGCAGUCAGCUAUAAAAGGCCCCGAUAAGACAAUGUAAAACAAUCUUGUAGUUUUCUUGUAUCCUUGAUAAUUUUACUAUAAAAAAUAUAGGAAAUUCAAAAAUGUUCAUUAAUGUAAGAUAACUGUUGUCUGUAGAAUAGAAAAAAUAUUUUGAUUACAGACGCUAAUGCAUUCGAAAGUUUCUGACUAUUUCUUCUCAGUGUUAUGCUCUAUACACAUUUGUUGAUAAAACUCCAACAUAUGCAAGUGCAGUUAAAAAAAAUGGACUUGUAUAAGAUUUUGAUUGAAUUUAAAACUUUCAAAUACAGAUAAAAAGACGAGUUUUGGCUUUUUAUGUGGUUCUUAUUUUAAGUCAUAAAGUUCUUGAAUGUGCAUGGAAAAUGUAGGAAAGGUUAACAGAUGUCUAGAUUUUGAUCUGAAGCAGCUUAAAUCUUAUGUAACCACUGUUAUGGACACAAAUUUUUAAUGUUGUAUAUAAAAAAAAAGUUUGCUAUGUUUUAAUGUAGAUCUUAGGCAAAUGUGUUAUGUUUUUUGCAAUACAUUACCAUUUUCUUCCAAGACAAAAACAUUAUUUUUAAUAUAGUUGUUAUGGAACUGAGUUUGUUGCUAAGGCAUACAACUGUAUAGAUGGUUGCUAGGGAGAAAUUAUUUUUCAAUUAAAUCAUUUAUCAUGUUUCUUUUUUUGUAAAAAGUUUGAAUGCAACAACAAAAAAAUGUUUGCAUUUUUAUUGAAAAAGGGGGGGGAGUUGCUAUGGUGUAAAACUGGUUGCUAAGGACUUUUUCAGCUAUAUUGUCUUUUUUAUGCAAGUUAUUUUCUUUCUAUUACAACUAAUCCUAUAAAAAGAUCAUUCUGCAAAUGAAUUUAGCUUAAGCAUUCAAAAUUUGCAAAAAUGAAAAUUAAGCAAAAAUGUGAUUUUUUAACACG